RNAcentral lists this ribosomal RNA (576 nucleotides) under uncultured bacterium. RNAcentral's name for it is "bacterial SSU rRNA". It matches the Rfam family "Bacterial small subunit ribosomal RNA", at positions 338 to 916 of the family's 1533-position model. The record is from RNAcentral.
CCUACGGGAGGCAGCAGUGAGGAAUAUUGGACAAUGGGCGCAAGCCUGAUCCAGCCAUGCCGCGUGCAGGAUGACGGUCCUAUGGAUUGUAAACUGCUUUUGCACAGGAAGAAACAACAUUACGUGUAAUGUCUUGACGGUACUGUGAGAAUAAGGAUCGGCUAACUCCGUGCCAGCAGCCGCGGUAAUACGGAGGAUCCAAGCGUUAUCCGGAAUCAUUGGGUUUAAAGGGUCCGUAGGCGGUUUAGUAAGUCAGUGGUGAAAGCCCAUCGCUCAACGGUGGAACGGCCAUUGAUACUGCUAGACUUGAAUUAUUAGGAAGUAACUAGAAUAUGUAGUGUAGCGGUGAAAUGCUUAGAGAUUACAUGGAAUACCAAUUGCGAAGGCAGGUUACUACUAAUGGAUUGACGCUGAUGGACGAAAGCGUGGGUAGCGAACAGGAUUAGAUACCCUGGUAGUCCACGCCGUAAACGAUGGAUACUAGCUGUUGGGAGCAAUUUCAGUGGCUAAGCGAAAGUGAUAAGUAUCCCACCUGGGGAGUACGUUCGCAAGAAUGAAACUCAAAUGAAUUGACGG